CUUUUACAAUGAAGAGUUUGAUCCUGGCUCAGGAUGAACGCUAGCUACAGGCUUAACACAUGCAAGUCGAGGGGCAGCAUGAACUUAGCUUGCUAAGUUUGAUGGCGACCGGCGCACGGGUGAGUAACACGUAUCCAACCUGCCGAUAACUCGGGGAUAGCCUUUCGAAAGAAAGAUUAAUACCCGAUGGUAUAAUCAGACCGCAUGGUCUUGUUAUUAAAGAAUUUCGGUUAUCGAUGGGGAUGCGUUCCAUUAGGCAGUUGGUGAGGUAACGGCUCACCAAACCUUCGAUGGAUAGGGGUUCUGAGAGGAAGGUCCCCCACAUUGGAACUGAGACACGGUCCAAACUCCUACGGGAGGCAGCAGUGAGGAAUAUUGGUCAAUGGGCGCAGGCCUGAA
RNAcentral lists this ribosomal RNA (399 nucleotides) under Akkermansia sp. BIOML-A41. Its description in RNAcentral is "bacterial SSU rRNA". It matches the Rfam family "Bacterial small subunit ribosomal RNA", at positions 1 to 387 of the family's 1533-position model. The record is from RNAcentral. Lineage: Bacteria; Pseudomonadati; Verrucomicrobiota; Verrucomicrobiia; Verrucomicrobiales; Akkermansiaceae.